GACGAACGCUGGCGGCGUGCUUAACACAUGCAAGUCGAACGGAAAGGCCCUGCUUUUGUGGUGUGCUCGAGUGGCGAACGGGUGAGUAACACGUGUGUAACCUGCCCUUGACUUUGGUAUAACUUCAGGAAACUGGGUCUAAUACCGGAUAGGAGCUCCUGCUGCAUUGUGUGUUUUGGAAAGUUUCGGCGGUUGGGGAUGGACUCGCGGCGUAUCAGCUUGUUGGUGGGGUAGUGGCUUACCAAGGCUUUGACGGGUAGCCGGCCUGAGAGGGUGACCGGCCACAUUGGGACUGAGAUACGGCCCAGACUCCUACGGGAGGCAGCAGUGGGGAAUAUUGCACAAUGGGCGGAAGCCUGAUGCAGCAACGCCGCGUGCGGGAUGACGGCCUUCGGGUUGUAAACCGCUUUCGCCUGUGAAGAAGCGAGAGUGACGGUAAUGGGUAAAGAAGCACCGGCUAACUACGUG
Molecule: ribosomal RNA, 468 nt
Filed under: uncultured bacterium
Lineage: Bacteria
Description: partial 16S ribosomal RNA
Rfam family: Bacterial small subunit ribosomal RNA
Source: RNAcentral